CUACGGGUUGCAGCAGGCGAGAAAACUUUGCAAUGUGCGAAAGCACGACAAGGUUAAUCCGAGUGGUUUCUGCUAAAGGAACCUUUUGACAGUCCUAGAAACACUGUUGAAUAAGGGGUGGGCAAGUUCUGGUGUCAACCGCCGCGGUAAAACCAGCACCUCAAGUGGUCAGGAUGAUUAUUGGGCCUAAAGCAUCCGUAGCCGGCUCUGUAAGUUUUCGGUUAAAUCUGUACGCUCAACGUACAGGCUGCCGGGAAUACUGCAGAGCUAGGGAGUGGGAGAGGUAGACGGUACUCGGUAGGAAGGGGUAAAAUCCUUUGAUCUAUUGAUGACCACCUGUGGCGAAGGCGGUCUACCAGAACACGUCCGACGGUGAGGGACGAAAGCUGGGGGAGCAAACCGGAUUAGAUACCCGUGUAGUC
RNAcentral lists this ribosomal RNA (422 nucleotides) under uncultured archaeon. Its description in RNAcentral is "partial 16S ribosomal RNA". It matches the Rfam family "Archaeal small subunit ribosomal RNA", at positions 323 to 746 of the family's 1478-position model. The record is from RNAcentral.